GGGGAUUUAGCUCAGAGGUGCUGCCGUUUGCCUUGCAAGCAAAAGGUCCUGAGUUCAAUCCCCAGCACCCCCC
This 73-nucleotide transfer RNA is filed under the name Fukomys damarensis (Damara mole-rat). It matches the Rfam family "tRNA". From Rfam's summary of the family: Transfer RNA (tRNA) molecules are approximately 80 nucleotides in length. Their secondary structure includes four short double-helical elements and three loops (D, anti-codon, and T loops). Further hydrogen bonds mediate the characteristic L-shaped molecular structure. tRNAs have two regions of fundamental functional importance: the anti-codon, which is responsible for specific mRNA codon recognition, and the 3' end, to which the tRNAs corresponding amino acid is attached (by aminoacyl-tRNA synthetases). tRNAs cope with the degeneracy of the genetic code in two manners: having more than one tRNA (with a specific anti-codon) for a particular amino acid; and 'wobble' base-pairing, i.e. permitting non-standard base-pairing at the 3rd anti-codon position. The record is from Rfam by way of RNAcentral. Lineage: Eukaryota; Metazoa; Chordata; Mammalia; Rodentia; Bathyergidae.